AGCCCGCGGCCUAUCAGCUUGUUGGUGAGGUAACGGCUCACCAAGGCGACGACGGGUAGCCGGCCUGAGAGGGCGACCGGCCACACUGGGACUGAGACACGGCCCAGACUCCUACGGGAGGCAGCAGUGGGGAAUAUUGCACAAUGGGCGGAAGCCUGAUGCAGCGACGCCGCGUGAGGGAUGA
Molecule: ribosomal RNA, 184 nt
Filed under: Streptomyces acidiscabies
Lineage: Bacteria; Bacillati; Actinomycetota; Actinomycetes; Kitasatosporales; Streptomycetaceae
Description: partial 16S ribosomal RNA
Rfam family: Bacterial small subunit ribosomal RNA
Source: RNAcentral